CCAUCCAAGGUUUUCUGCCUCAAUGUCUGUAUUAGUGUCCUAUAGCUGCCAUAACAAAUUACCAUGAACUGGGUGGCUUAAAAGAACAGAAAUUUAUUGUCUC
Molecule: non-coding RNA, 103 nt
Organism: Ceratotherium simum simum (southern white rhinoceros)
Lineage: Eukaryota; Metazoa; Chordata; Mammalia; Perissodactyla; Rhinocerotidae
Source: RefSeq, a predicted model, not a curated record